UAAAUUUUUAUAUCAUAGAUCUUAUCAAAUAAAACCUCUUUUAAUGUAUUGUUAUGCAUAAAAGCAAAAUCAAAUGAAACAUACUUUAAUUUAAUAUUUUAAAGUUUAGGUAAAACUCCAUAUGGAGGUGCUCCUAAUUCAAGGAAGCUUAUACUAAGAAGAUACAUUAACAUUGGUUUCUUUCCCCUUACUUAUAUCCCCUGG
Molecule: long non-coding RNA, 204 nt
Filed under: Mytilus galloprovincialis (Mediterranean mussel)
Lineage: Eukaryota; Metazoa; Mollusca; Bivalvia; Mytilida; Mytilidae
Source: RNAcentral